This 700-nucleotide ribosomal RNA is filed under the name uncultured Comamonadaceae bacterium. RNAcentral's name for it is "bacterial SSU rRNA". It matches the Rfam family "Bacterial small subunit ribosomal RNA", at positions 64 to 759 of the family's 1533-position model. The record is from RNAcentral. Lineage: Bacteria; Pseudomonadati; Pseudomonadota; Betaproteobacteria; Burkholderiales; Comamonadaceae.
GAACGGCAGCACGGGAGCAAUCCUGGUGGCGAGUGGCGAACGGGUGAGUAAUAUAUCGGAACGUGCCCAGUCGUGGGGGAUAACGCAGCGAAAGCUGUGCUAAUACCGCAUACGAUCUACGGAUGAAAGCGGGGGAUCGCAAGACCUCGCGCGAUUGGAGCGGCCGAUAUCAGAUUAGCUAGUUGGUGAGGUAAAGGCUCACCAAGGCGACGAUCUGUAGCUGGUCUGAGAGGACGACCAGCCACACUGGAACUGAGACACGGUCCAGACUCCUACGGGAGGCAGCAGUGGGGAAUUUUGGACAAUGGGCGCAAGCCUGAUCCAGCAAUGCCGCGUGCAGGAUGAAGGCCUUCGGGUUGUAAACUGCUUUUGUACGGAACGAAACGGUCCUUUCUAAUACAAGGGGCUAAUGACGGUACCGUAAGAAUAAGCACCGGCUAACUACGUGCCAGCAGCCGCGGUAAUACGUAGGGUGCGAGCGUUAAUCGGAAUUACUGGGCGUAAAGCGUGCGCAGGCGGUUAUAUAAGACAGAUGUGAAAUCCCCGGGCUCAACCUGGGACCUGCAUUUGUGACUGUAUAGCUAGAGUACGGUAGAGGGGGAUGGAAUUCCGCGUGUAGCAGUGAAAUGCGUAGAUAUGCGGAGGAACACCGAUGGCGAAGGCAAUCCCCUGGACCUGUACUGACGCUCAUGCACGAAAG